GGGCCAGGAGAUGGUGACGGAUCGCAGGUGUCGUUCUUCCUUAUCGGAUUGGAAGGGCUGGUGAGUGGUUCCUGGAAAUAGCCCUCCAUGAGACCGUACCCUAAACCGACACAGGUGGACUGGUAGAGAAUACCAAGGCGCUUGAGAGAACCACAUUUAAGGAACUCGGCAAAAUACCUCCGUAAGUUCGCGAGAAGGAGGCCCGGUUUUUGCGCAAGCAGAGGCCGGGGGCACAAACCAGGGGGUGGCGACUGUUUACUAAAAACACAGGGCUCUGCGAAGUCGUAAGACGACGUAUAGGGUCUGACGCCUGCCCGGUGCCGGAAGGUUAAAAGGAGAUGUGCAAGCAUUGAAUUGAAGCCCCGGUAAACGGCGGCCGUAACAAUAACGGUCCUAAGGUAGCGAAAUUCCUUGUCGGGUAAGUUCCGACCUGCACGAAUGGUGUAAUGAUGGCCAGGCUGUCUCCACCAGAGACUCAGUGAAAUUGAAAUUGCGGUGAAGAUGCCGUAUACCCGCGGCUAGACGGAAAGACCCCGUGAACCUUUACUACAGCUUUACAUUGAACUUUGACCUUACCUGUGUAGGAUAGGUGGGAGGCUUUGAAGUGGCGACGCUAGUUGCCAUGGAGCCGUCCUUGAAAUACCACCCUGGUAAUAUUGAGGUUCUAACUCUGUCCCGUUAUCCGGGACGAGGACCAUGUCUGGUGGGUAGUUUGACUGGGGCGGUCUCCUCCCAAAGAGUAACGGAGGAGCACGAAGGUUGGCUAAGUACGGUCGGACAUCGUACGGUUAGUGCAAAGGCAGAAGCCAGCUUAACUGCGAGACAGACACGUCGAGCAGGUACGAAAGUAGGUCAUAGUGAUCCGGUGGUUCUGUAUGGAAGGGCCAUCGCUCAACGGAUAAAAGGUACUCUGGGGAUAACAGGCUGAUACCGCCCAAGAGUUCAUAUCGACGGCGGUGUUUGGCACCUCGAUGUCGGCUCAUCACAUCCUGGGGCUG
Molecule: ribosomal RNA, 998 nt
Filed under: Cyathus bulleri
Lineage: Eukaryota; Fungi; Basidiomycota; Agaricomycetes; Agaricales; Nidulariaceae
Description: bacterial LSU rRNA
Rfam family: Bacterial large subunit ribosomal RNA
Source: RNAcentral